UGUCUUUUUUUGUAACUUCCCUCCUGUAAUGUUUUUGUGUCUCUUGGCCCAUGUAACUCCCAAGCCCAUUAGAAAACAAAACAAUAACUGAUCUAUUUUUCCUAUACUAUAUUUUGAAUAAAAUAAAUACUACAAAUAAGUUUCUCAGAUAGAAUAGGAGUUCAAAGUAGAAAAUUCGGACUUUCUGCUUCUGGCCAUAUUCUGGGCUGAUUGGAAUGUCAAUAAAUUCUGAAACCUUACUUGAAUUAAAGGUCUUCUCGCAAGCUUUCCAACGGCUGUUUACGGGCCCAAAACGGACUUACAGAACUCCGGUUAUGAUCAAAACAAUGAACACAACACAAUUAAUCCCAAAAUCCGAAUUUUGCUAGAAAUCACUUCAAAUAAUGCACUUUUUGCUCCAUUCCUUCUAUUAUGAGAAUUCUUUAUUUUCUACAAGAAAACAUGAAAAUAUAUAUUAAAUAAAAUCCAGUUUCAUGCAAAAGUAUUUAAAAUAUG
RNAcentral lists this long non-coding RNA (495 nucleotides) under Daucus carota (carrot). Its description in RNAcentral is "long non-coding RNA (DCAR_LNC006769)". The record is from RNAcentral. Lineage: Eukaryota; Viridiplantae; Streptophyta; Magnoliopsida; Apiales; Apiaceae.